AGAGUUUGAUCCUGGCUCAGGAUGAACGCUAGCGGCAGGCCUAAUACAUGCAAGUCGAACGAUACUUUCCAGCUUGCUGGAGAGGAAAGUGGCGCACGGGUGCGUAACGCGUAUGCAACCUACCUUAAUCAGGGGGAUAGCCCGAAGAAAUUCGGAUUAACACCGCAUAAAAUCACAGUACAGCAUUGUACAAUGAUCAAAUAUUAAUAGGAUUAAGAUGGGCAUGCGUGACAUUAGUUAGUUGGCGGGGUAACGGCCCACCAAGACCACGAUGUCUAGGGGAUCUGAGAGGAUGACCCCCCACACUGGUACUGAGACACGGACCAGACUCCUACGGGAGGCAGCAGUAAGGAAUAUUGGUCAAUGGAGGCAACUCUGAACCAGCCAUGCCGCGUGCAGGAAGACAGCCCUCUGGGUCGUAAACUGCUUUUAUUCGGGAAUAAACCUCAUUACGAGUAGUGAGCUGAAUGUACCGAAGGAAUAAGGAUCGGCUAACUCCGUGCCAGCAGCCGCGGUAAUAC
This 521-nucleotide ribosomal RNA is filed under the name Pedobacter cryoconitis. Its description in RNAcentral is "bacterial SSU rRNA". It matches the Rfam family "Bacterial small subunit ribosomal RNA", at positions 8 to 526 of the family's 1533-position model. Lineage: Bacteria; Pseudomonadati; Bacteroidota; Sphingobacteriia; Sphingobacteriales; Sphingobacteriaceae. The record is from RNAcentral.